RNAcentral lists this long non-coding RNA (7259 nucleotides) under Canis lupus familiaris (dog). RNAcentral's name for it is "lncRNA (ENSCAFG00845002038.1)". The record is from RNAcentral. Lineage: Eukaryota; Metazoa; Chordata; Mammalia; Carnivora; Canidae.
UUUUUCCAAGGGCCAAAGGCAUCCUUGACUUAACCUGUGCUUUUUUUUUUUUUCCCCAUAAUAUGCUAUGUUUAGUCAUAGCCAGCAUUACCCUUCCAUCUAAACCACGAAGCAUGGCCAAAGAGAUGAUAGAAAUAAAAGUGAUUCAUUAAUGGGAAGCAAAGAGGAAAGCAAGUUCAACCUGUCAUCCCUCCCAUUUUUGUGGGAAAAUAUGGAAAUAAAGUGUGGUCAUAUUGUACUUCUCUAUUUAAGUAUUGGAAUUUAAGUUAAACUUGAAUUAAAAAUCACAUUUUUCUGUUCCCCACUUCACUCUUUGUAUCUUAUCAAUGGUGAAUGUUGACCACUGUCAGCCCCUAUUACUGUAAUACAUAUAAUAUAUGCUAUCUUUUUUUUUAAUUUUUUAUUCAUUUAUGAUAGUCACAGAGAGAGAGCGAGAGCGAGAGAGAGAGAGAGGCAGAGAGAGAAGCAGGCUCCAUGCACCGGGAGCCUGAUGUGGGAUUCGAUCCCGGAUCUCCAGGAUCGCGCCCUGGGCCAAAGGCAGGCGCCAAACCGCUGAGCCACCCAGGGAUCCCAAUAUACGCUAUCUUAAUAUACACUAUCUAGAUUGUUAUAUGGUCAUCUCUCUCCUACUUCCUGAAAUAUAUUUGAACAAAAGGAGGGGGAAAAAUGACAGAUGUAUCAAUGUCCUGAUAGGAUGGUAAUUGAGGAUAAUUUAUUUAAAAGCUCUAUUUACAUAGUAGUCAGAAAAAUUAAUGGAAACCAGCAAAAGAUAAUGAACUCACUUGGGGAAAGAACAAGAAGGAGAGAUCAGUUGGGGUGUUUUGGGUUUUUUUUUUUUUAACUAAUUGAAUAUCUGUGAGAGAUAAUACAUGUUAAAAGAUUCAUUCCUACAAAAGAUAGCAAUCUAAUCUUAAAGGUUCAUAGCUAUGUCCUCCUUUGUGUUCCCACUGAACUAUAGUCUCGGCUCUAUUACUUAUGACAUUAUCUAAGUGUCCCACUACUAAGCAAGUUCAUCCAGAAUAAUUAUCAGGCAUUAAUUAUAAGUGUGCUCCUUUCACCAACUCAGGUAGAAAAGAGAAUAAAAUUUUUAAAAAUCUUAGAAGUAAAUACUCACUUUGUAAGUUUAACAAACAGUAAGGAGAAGUAAGAAGCAGAGAAAGGAACUAAUAUGUAUUAAGUAUUUUAACUAGGCAUCUAUGCUAAAUGUUUAUUAAAUUUCCUUUCUAUUGUUUGUUUACAAUUAUGAUUUUUCACUCUAAAACUAUUAGAUGAUCCCUCCGAAUUCUGAGCAGUGUCAUGGUGAGCUAUUACAUGCCACACGCUACAGUAUAACAACAUAUAUUUUUACUAAGAUUACAUUGCCAUUUUAAAAUGGACAAUGGAACCAUUUCCUCCACAGGGCAAUGGACUUCCUCCCUUCUUUAAGAUAAGGAUUGGCACUGGGCAUGCCCUUCCUGAACCUUAGAACCCAACUCUCUUUUUUCAGUAAGUCUGCAAAGAAAUUUAUUAUUAAUUGAUAUGGGAGUUGAGAGAUUCAGUCCCUUUCUAUUUAUCAUUAAAACUCUAUUAAAACUCUUGUUCCAAGGGUUUUGCUCCCAUCUUGCACGCCCUGGCAAAAUGUUUUGUACACAGAGCUGUCAUGUUGUUCUAGUAAUGCAUUUACAUUACAGGAAACUGGCAACAUUAAGUACUUACAGGGUAAGGAGACCAGAGAAAGGUUGCCAAAAUAUUUGGAGUUCAGUCAAAAGCCCAAGGGAUAGUACAAUAGGUGAUGUUUUUCUAACUCUUUCUGUCUGCAGAAGAUCAGAAGAGACUAUUUGAUUUUUUUCAAAGUAACAUUUUUAAUAAUGCUGCUUGAAAAAUCAGCCUACUUCUGCUGUAAGUUACAGGAAGAAAUAAAUUCCAGUUGACUCCAACAAGAAGUUGUGACUGGGUAUGCUACAAUGUAUUUCUAUCUUCAAAGAGAGCUGUAAGAGUAAAAAAUGCUUUGCCCGAAUUUAGUAAAACCUACUUCAAUGGUUAGGGAUUUAUGUUCUGAGAGUUUUCAAAGGAAAUGCAUUCAUUUUAGAGCAGUUGCUUGAAAUGACUAAUUUUCGGUUGCUUUUCCUAAUUUCAUUCUCAUUUGAUUUAUCUGAGAGUUCAGGAGAAAUGAACUAUUCCACGUCAAUUAAUUUUCCAGAUAAUUAUAGCAGAACUCUUUAUUUUACUUUAAAGAUUUCAUUUAUUUAUUUGAGAGACAGAAAGAGAGAGCACAAGCAAAGGGUAGGGGGUUUAGAGGGAGAGCGACAAGCAGACUUGUCCGUUUAGUGGAGAGAAUGGUGUGAGGGCUCGAUCCCAGGACCCUGAGAUCAUGACCUGAGCCAAGGUCAGAUGUUAAAUUGACUGAGCCACUCCAGUACCCCACAGAACGAUUUAUUUUAGUCACACUGGGAAAAAUUUUAAACUUUAUUUAAAAAUUGUUAAUGUGGAUCAAGUUUAUCAUUUUAACCUGACACCUAUUGGCUCUGCUGUCAUACAGGGCAGUGAUGUCUUGUCUUCUUCCCUGUAUUCCUUUCUCAGUUGCAAUACAUGGUACAUCCAGCUACUCAGUCACAGCUCAGUGCCUGCUUUUGCACUGGGGUAGCAUGGCUAAACAUGAUCUCUCCCUUCAGUGAGUUUAUAUAUUUAGAAGGCAUUCAACACAUAUGUAUUAAAUUAGUGAAUAUUAAUUAAUAACACAAAUUCCUCUGGGUUAUUGUCUCUUCUUAGAGACAUAAGAAGAAUAUCCAUAUUGCUACUUCCCAGCAAUCCUUCUGUUAUUUUGGAGUAUCCCUAGGGGAGUCUUCCAUGUACUUGGAAAUAGGUCUGCUUAUGUUCUCUUUUCUAAUUGUUACUGAUGUCAGACCAGUUCUAAGCACUGUUCUAAUAUAUGUUAAUUCACCUAUGUUGUCCUCAUGACAAGAGACCAAGUACAAGAGCUGCACAAUAAAACGUGGAAGAAAAAACUUUCCUUCAUCUUGAUUUCUACUUGGUUCAUUGAUCCUAGAAACACCAAUGUCUCAGGCAAUUGCUCAUGAAAACAGGGGAUUUGGGUUCUGCUUUUAAACCCGUCCCUCCACAAGUGCUGAUGAACCAGCUAGCAGGCCAGGAGUUUGGGGAGAGUUGCCAUGUCAUUCUCUUGCAUUGUCCACCUCUCCUUUAUCCCCACAUACAUUCACUCUGAUUGUUCUGAUUUUUCUGUCAAUCAACUUGUGCAUAGAUAUUGAUGGGGUCCCACCAGCCAAAAAGAGAACUCCCAUUUGUCUUGAACUAGUACAACUGUUAAACCAUUUUGAGAAUUAAGGGCUAUUUCAAAAUAUACAUUCAUAUCACUUUUCAUUAACUGCUUUAAUUAACCUUGGGAUGGGAAGGCAGGUAACUAAGCAACCAAGCAAUUGGUUUCCUGGGGCUGAUGUAACAUUAACACAAACUAGGGGACUGAAGACAAUAGAAAUUUAUUUUCUCUCAGGUCAGGAGGCCAGAAGUUCGAAUCAAAGUGUCAGCAAUGUUGGUUUCUUGUUGGGAGUUUAGAGGAGAAUCUCAUGCUUCUCUUGUAGCUGCUGGUGAUUGCUGGAUUCUUAGCACUCAAAUAUCUGCCUCCAUCAGGCGAUGGUCUUUCUUUGUCCGUAUCCUUGGGUCCAAACUUCUCUCUUCUUAUAAAGACACCAAUCAUAUGGAGUAGGGCCCACCUUAAUCCUAUAUGAUCUCAUCUUAACUUGAUUACAUCUGCAAAGAUCCUAUUUCCAAAUAAGGCCAUCUUCAUAGAUUUUUGGGUGGACAUGAAUUUUGCGAAGAUAUUAUUUAAUCCAGUAUGGAAAUGUUGUUUGUUAAAUAGGAAUAAAAUGCUAUCUGCUUGAUAAUGGCUAGAGACAAUCCUUUCCACGUCAAGAAGGUUAUUUUCCUUUACUUCUGCAUGGAAGCUCUGUUGAGGUUGAAAGAAGAUUAAACUUCAGAAAAGUCAAGUGUUAUUAUAAAUUAGAUGCCCUUCACCUUGCUAGGGCAAGUUUGGUGUCUGUCUAGUCUUAUCUAGUCACAGUUUAUGAGGCUCACUGAUUUUGUAACUGACAUUUGAAUAAAGAUUAUCUGCUUGGCACACAGAAUCUAAAAGAUACCAACUCCUACUGCCUUCUUUCUGUUGUGUUUAAUGUUGUGCCAUGUAAUCUUCCAUUUGAGGGUUGAGUGUUUUUUUCUUUUUAUUUCUAACCUUUGAAAUACCCUUUUUAAAAAAUUAAAACUAGGAAAACUAUUAAGCAAAGAAUGGAUAUUAAAAUUAUUAAUUUUGUUAUAUGAAGUAUAGACUUUUAUAGAAUACAUUACUUUAAGAAUGAAUACUUAUAUUAGAUAUAUUAAGCAUAUAAAUGGAAUUUAACUUUAUCUUUGAAUCAGAUACAAUGGGCACAGUAGAUCUAGCACAGAUAUAGAAGCUAGAAUGAUAAUAUUACAUUUCUAUUUCCACAGCAAACCCAUGGAAUUAUCCUGAUUAAGCACAUAAUUUGUUUAAUCUAUAUUUUUAUUUGCAUCUUAUGACUCUAUUAUUCAGUACCUAAGAUGUACCUAAAUUUACCACUUAGUGUCAAAUUAACAUCUGUCAUAAACUACCCAAGAAAACUAGGUGUAUGAAACAGAGUUAUCCUGAUAGCUGAAUGAGGGAGUAUUUGGCUUAACCAAAUUUAAUUAAUAUAAAUGCCACACAAUGUUUGAUUUGCAAGGAAAUAAUACAAUGAGAUACAGAGCACAAUACAGCCCAAAUGUGGGGGAAGAGCUUCUUCCAGCUAUAAGUGUAACCAUCACUUAAUGCUCCUGUAUAUCAUUCAGAGAUUGAGGAUGCAGGCAAAGGGGAACCCUCUUACACUGUUGGAGGGAAUGCAAACUGGUAUAGCCCCUUUGGAAAACAGUAUGGAGCUUCCUUAAAAAGUUAAAAAUAGAACUACUCUAUGAUCCAGCAAUUUCACUACUAGGUAUUUGCCCAAAGGAUACUAAUAUAAAGAGAUACAAUGCACCCCUAUAUUUAUAGCAACUUUAUCAACAAUAGCGAAAUUAUGGAAAGAACCCAAAAUGUCCAUUGACUGAUGAAUGGGUAAAGAAGAAGUAGUGUAUAUAUACAAUGGAAUAUUAGCCAUAACAAAGAAUGAAAUCUUGCCAUUUGCAAUGAUGUGGAUGGAGCUAGAGAGUAUUAUGCUAAGUGAAGUAAGUCAGUCAGAGAAAGACAAAUACCAUAUGGUUUCACUCAUAUGUGAAAUUUAAGAAACAAAACAUAUCACCAUAGGGAAAAAAGAAAGAGAGGCAAACCAGAAACAGUCUCUUAACUAUAGAGAACAAAUCGAGGAUUAUUGGAGGGGAGGCCAGUGGGGGGGAAAGGUUAAGCUGGUGAUGGGGAUUAAUGAGGACACUUGUGAUGAGCACUAGGUAUUGUAUGUAAGUAAUGAAUCACUAAAUUCUACACCUGAGACUAAUAUUAUACUUUAUGUUAACUAACUGAAAUUGAAAUAAAAAGUUGAAAAAAACAAUUAUUCGGAGAGCUGGUUGGUUAUAGUUUGCAUUAUGAGCUUAUUGUUAUUCUGUAAAAAUAUUAAUAAUUAAUACUAUAUAGUACUUAACCACAUGCUAGUCAAUAAUUAUGCAUUUUACAAAUAUUAGCUCAUUUAAUCUGUUCAAUAAUUUUAUUAAUGUAAGUACAAUAAUUAUCUCUAUUUUAGAGAUGAGAAAACUAGGCACAGAUGUACUAAGUGACUUGUCUGAAGUCACGAGCUGAGAAGUGGCAAAGUCAGGAUUUGAAGCCAUGUAGGCUGGUUCUGGAAGUCAUGCUCCCACUCCUGUUCUACACUGCCGUGUUGAGGGAUGGGGGUGGGGUCUCCGCAUAUUUGAAAUCACACUCUAUAGAAUAUGAACGAACAGUGUGUUCUGUUGAUCUAGUUGGCAGUUGAAGACUAGUUGGCAGUCACUAGCAUAUUGACAAGACAGUGUGAAGAUUAUUUAGGGAGUAAUGAAAUAACAUAGCUGGAAUUCAUAUUUUACCCACUUAGUCACCCAGUCUUUAUGAAGUAGUUUCUAGGUCCUAGGCACACUCUUAUGUAUCACUGAUAAAAUGGUAAGUGAAAUACAGCUCCUGCUCAUGGUAGAGGGGCACAAGCAUGUAAUAACUACAACACAGACCAUCUGUUAGGGCUCAAAAGCACAGCAUUGUCAGAGGAAAUCAUCUUGCCAUGAUGCCUCUGAAUUGGUCACAACUUGAUAUAAAUAAUCAAACUCCUUAGAAGCCAAGCAAUAUAUGUUAAUGCAGUUCCUGGACUUUGUUGCAGGACAUUCUGAAUGCAAACUCAUUCAUUUAAAUAAUUGUUCUGAAAAACCUGCCAGCUCAUCUGAGAUCUAGAGACGUGUAUGAUAUGACUUAGAGUCUGAGAAAUGCUUGCUUGCAUUUAUGUACCUUGCCUCAGCAUAUCUGAUGCAGGCAACUCAUACUUUGUUGAUCAAUGGCAGGAGUUUAGCAUUUCCUCAGAAGCCAUGCCUUUACAAUUUGGGACAAGAGGGUGGCUCAACGGUUGAGCAUCUGCCUUCGGCUCAGGAUGUAAUCCCGGGGUUCAGGGAUUGAGUCCCAUAUCGGGCUCCUGCAUGGAGCCUGCUUCUCCUCCCUCUGCCUAUUUCUCUGCCUCUCUCUGUGUGUCUCAUGAAUAAAUAAAGUCUUUAAAAAAUAUAUAAAAUUUGGGACAAGAAUUAAUGCAGGAUUACCAAUCAGGGAUUUUUUUUUGCCUCAAUGAUUUAUUAUUAACCAGGGCUUAUCAGGAGUAGGUCAAUGCAUUAAACACUUUGUAUGCAUCAUCUCAUUUAAUCUUCAUAGCUUCCCAAUGAGCUAAGUAUUCAUAAUUAUCUGUAUUUUACAAAGGAGAAACUGAGAUUUAAAGUUUCCCUGUGGAGCGGUUCAUAGGAAGUGGUAAAGUCAGGACUCAACUCUAGCUCUAUCAAAAUGUGAGUCUCAUACACGUCCUUAACUGCCAUGUUGUCCUGCCUCUGGUUCAUUCAAAGAGCACCACUGAAGAGUUUCACCACACUUGGCACCUAUAAAGUGGAGCCUUCAGAGUACAGUGUAGAGACAGGUGCUUCCACAGCUCUCAAUUAUAAACAAUAAAGCCUUCCAUAUCCAAUGGCUAUUCUCCCUUCCACUUGUGAUAUUUGAACCUUUGAACAGUGUUUAACAGUGCAGAUGAGUGUGCUUGCAUUAAUCCCAUCAGUCUAACAAAUGUCUU